CAGUGAACACGGUCUCCGGCCCCGGCAUUGGCUCGCGGAACCUUGGACGCGAGUCCUCGGGCUCACCCGGGAGCACCGGAAAGGACUUGUGCGGAGGACUUAGGAGGAGGAAGGGAAGGGAGGACCGAGGAACCAUGGCUUCUGUGGGUGCUCUUUGCAGUGGUCCGGGAAAGAGAAAGUUUACCUGCUUCCUGACGGCCGCCGUCCGCUGCCCAAACCCAGGAACCCGAGCGGUGCUGUGGAGAAGUUGUUCACAAUAUAAGCAGGUAACCAGCAAUGAGGACCUGCCUGUUCCAAUAGAAAAUCCUUAUAAGGAGCCUCUUAAAAAGUGCGUCUUGUGUGGAAAACGUGUAGAUUAUAAGAAUGUACAGCUUUUGUCCCAGUUUAUUUCUCCAUUUACUGGAUGCAUUCAUGGAAGGCACAUAACAGGUCUUUGUGGGAAGAAACAAAGAGAAAUCACAAAAGCUAUUAAGAGAGCACAAAUAAUGGGAAACCAGCUGUGUGAGGACCUUCGGGCCAUGCAGGCUGCCUAGACUCCAUUGUCUGCCACACGCCUCUCAACCCUGGCUUUUCCUGGAAGGGCAGUGCACUCACCUUCAGUGUAGCCUUCCAGGCUCUAAGGACAGGGCUCUUUGAGCUGAGCCAGCACAUGAAAUUGAAGCUACAAUUCACUGCUAGUGUGCCCCAUGCUCCACCCGAGGCCCAGCCCCUCUCUGGAAAGAGCAGUCCCAACAGCCCAGCUGUCCGGGACUUGGUGGAGAGGCACCAGGCUAGCCUGGGCUGCUCUCAGUCCUUCUGCCACCAACAGCCUUCCUGCAGCCACCUCAUGAGGUAUGGAACCAAGGGA
This is an RNA transcript of Myotis myotis, 847 nucleotides long. It is a transcript of the gene named mitochondrial ribosomal protein S18C, with no coding region annotated. The transcript is spliced from 7 exons. Lineage: Eukaryota; Metazoa; Chordata; Mammalia; Chiroptera; Vespertilionidae. The record is from RefSeq and is a predicted model, not a curated record.